GAUGAACGCUGGCGGCGUGCCUAAUACAUGCAAGUCGAGCGAACGGACGAGAAGCUUGCUUCUCUGAUGUUAGCGGCGGACGGGUGAGUAACACGUGGAUAACCUACCUAUAAGACUGGGAUAACUUCGGGAAACCGGAGCUAAUACCGGAUGAUAUUUUGAACCGCAUGGUUCAAAAGUGAAAGACGGUCUUGCUGUCACUUAUAGAUGGAUCCGCGCUGCAUUAGCUAGUUGGUAAGGUAACGGCUUACCAAGGCAACGAUGCAUAGCCGACCUGAGAGGGUGAUCGGCCACACUGGAACUGAGACACGGUCCAGACUCCUACGGGAGGCAGCAGUAGGGAAUCUUCCGCAAUGGGCGAAAGCCUGACGGAGCAACGCCGCGUGAGUGAUGAAGGUCUUCGGAUCGUAAAACUCUGUUAUUAGGGAAGAACAUAUGUGUAAGUAACUGGGCACAUCUUGACGGUACCUAAUCAGAAGGCCACGGCUAACUACGUGC
Molecule: ribosomal RNA, 498 nt
Filed under: uncultured bacterium
Lineage: Bacteria
Description: partial 16S ribosomal RNA
Rfam family: Bacterial small subunit ribosomal RNA
Source: RNAcentral